CCUACGGGAGGCAGCAGUGGGGAAUCUUGGGCAAUGGGGGCAAACCUUGAUCCAGCCNUCCCGCGUGUGCGAUGAAGGCCUUCGGGUUGUAAAGCGCUUUUGGCAGGAAAGAAACGUCNUGGGCUAAUACCCCNNGAAACUGACGGUACCUGCANAAUAAGCACCGGCUAACUACGUGCCAGCAGCCGCGGUAAU
This 195-nucleotide ribosomal RNA is filed under the name uncultured bacterium. RNAcentral's name for it is "partial 16S rRNA". It matches the Rfam family "Bacterial small subunit ribosomal RNA", at positions 338 to 524 of the family's 1533-position model. The record is from RNAcentral.